This 1342-nucleotide ribosomal RNA is filed under the name uncultured bacterium. Its description in RNAcentral is "bacterial SSU rRNA". It matches the Rfam family "Bacterial small subunit ribosomal RNA", at positions 27 to 1381 of the family's 1533-position model. The record is from RNAcentral.
GGACGAACGCUGGCGGCGUGCCUAACACAUGCAAGUCGAGCGGAGGUAUUCAAGGAGCAAUCUGCGGAUACUUUAGCGGCGGACGGGUGAGUAACGCGUGAGCAACCUGCCUUUCACAGGGGGAUAAGGCGGCGAAAGCCGCUCUAAUACCGCAUGAGACCCCGGUGGUGAUACCACAGCGGUCAAAGGAGCAAUCCGGUGAGAGAUGGGCUCGCGUCCGAUUAGGUAGUUGGUGGGGUAAAGGCUCACCAAGCCAAUGAUCGGUAGCCGGCCUGAGAGGGUGAACGGCCACAUUGGAACUGAGAGACGGUCCAAACUCCUACGGGAGGCAGCAGUGGGGAAUAUUGGGCAAUGGGGGAAACCCUGACCCAGCAACGCCGCGUGAGGGAAGAAGGUUUUCGGAUUGUAAACCUCUGUUCUUGGGGAAGAGCAGAAGACGGUACCCAAGGAGGAAGCCCCGGCUAACUACGUGCCAGCAGCCGCGGUAAUACGUAGGGGGCGAGCGUUGUCCGGAAUGAUUGGGCGUAAAGGGCGCGUAGGCGGCUGUGUAAGUCAGUAGUGGAAGUCCAGCUUUUAAGGUUGGAAGUGCUAUUGAAACUGUGCAGCUUGAGUGCAGGAGAGGUUAUCGGAAUUCCCGGUGUAGCGGUGAAAUGCGUAGAGAUCGGGAGGAACACCAGUGGCGAAGGCGGGUAACUGGACUGCAACUGACGCUGAGGCGCGAAAGUGUGGGGAGCAAACAGGAUUAGAUACCCUGGUAGUCCACACUGUAAACGAUGAAUGCUAGGUGUAGGGGGUAUCGACCCCUUCUGUGCCGGAGUAAACACAAUAAGCAUUCCGCCUGGGGAGUACGGUCGCAAGAUUAAAACUCAAAGGAAUUGACGGGGGCCCGCACAAGUGGUGGAUGAUGUGGUUUAAUUCGAUGCAACGCGAAAAACCUUACCCACCUUUGACAUGGCAGGAAGUUUCCAGAGAUGGAUUCGUGCUCGAAAGAGAACCUGCACACAGGUGCUGCAUGGCUGUCGUCAGCUCGUGUCGUGAGAUGUUGGGUUAAGUCCCGCAACGAGCGCAACCCUUGUCAUUAGUUGCUACGAAAGGGCACUCUAAUGAGACUGCCGGUGACAAACCGGAGGAAGGUGGGGAUGACGUCAAGUCCUCAUGGCCCUUAUAGGUGGGGCUACACACGUCAUACAAUGGCCGGUACAAAGGGUCGCAAACCCGCGAGGGGGAGCCAAUCCAUCAAAGCCGGUCGUAGUCCGGAUCGCAGUCUGCAACUCGACUGCGUGAAGCCGGAAUCGCUAGUAAUCGUGGAUCAGCAUGUCACGGUGAAUACGUUCCCGGGUCU